AUGACUAGGAGGAUAAAUAUCUUUGCUCCUAACUUGUCCCCCAAGGCCUCUAGAUUCUGGAAAGGGAUCAAAUCCAUUAUCCAAACUCUGAAAUUUGGUUACAGAUGGAAGAUUAAGUCGGGGAAUACUGUAAGAUUCUGGGAAGAUACCUGGUUUGGCACUUAUCCUCUGGUUGUGCAAUUCUGGCCUAUUUACUCCAUUUGUAAUGAGCAAACCAAAAGUGUCAAUGAGGUUUGGGAUGGGCAUCAGCUGAAACUUUCUUUUAGAAGAAACUUUGAUGAUAAGCUUAUGGAGCAACGGUAUCAAUUAGUGGAGAUGGCUAACAGUGUCGUUUUCACUGAUGAUAUUAAUGCUCUGGUUUGGCAACUAGAAAACAAAGGGACUUAUUCUGCUAGCUCUCUUUAUCAUGUGAUUAGCUUUAGAGGGGUGCAACUAGUCUUCAUUCUUUGUGUCUGGAAACUUAGGGUUCCCCCGAAAAUUCAUGUUUUUCUCUGGCUCUUUGCUAAUAAUAAGCUGACGACCGAAGACAACCUUAGAAAAAGGCAGAUUAUUAAACCUAUGGAUUGUGUUUUCUGCUCUGAUGUUGAAUCUAGUGCUCAUUUAUUCUUUGACUAUGUAGUUGCUAAGCAGAUUUGGCCCCUGGUGAAAGGGCAUUUUGGGAUCAAAAUUGGGGCUGGUUUCAAAUCAGUAGCCAAAAUUUGGGUCUCAAAUAAAAAAACUCUACUCUCAAUACUGUCAGCUCUGCUGUGCUUUGGUGUCUUUGAAAAUAUAGGAACUCUAUCAUUUUCAAUAACACCUUAUGGAUCUCCAUCAAAGAGGUGUUGA
Molecule: ribosomal RNA, 825 nt
Filed under: Triticum aestivum (bread wheat)
Lineage: Eukaryota; Viridiplantae; Streptophyta; Magnoliopsida; Poales; Poaceae
Description: partial small subunit ribosomal RNA
Source: RNAcentral